Molecule: RNA transcript, 8361 nt
Organism: Cavia porcellus (domestic guinea pig)
Lineage: Eukaryota; Metazoa; Chordata; Mammalia; Rodentia; Caviidae
Gene name: neuroblastoma breakpoint family member 12-like
Exons: 11
Source: RefSeq, a predicted model, not a curated record
AGGGCGGUCACCUGGAAGUGGGUCACCAGGAAGGGGGUCAGCAACAGGGGGGGUUAGUACCAGGUGGAGGGUCAGCAGGACAGGGGUCAGAACCAGGGGGAGAGUACACUGGGAAGGCAUUCAGCUCAUGCCUUGUGGCACACCAAAGCUCCCUGGCUUCUUGGUGUCUCUGGUUGGGACCCUACCAUGUUCUGCAAAAAGUACUGAAGCGCACAACUUGGUGUAUUUUGCUAUGCAGGCCUUCAGUUCACAGUACUCAACACAUGGCGGCUCCCAGUUAUCUGGAUGUCACUGUAUGGGGCCCAAGCAGGACCUGAAUGAUCUACGUAUUUGGAAAUUGCUUUUUCACUCAUGUCAUGGUGUCUUCUGAUGAAUGAAUGUUGUGAAUUGUAAUUAGAUUACUAUGCUACAUUAGUCUGUUGAUAUUUUAAUUAGUGUUAUCUUGUAUCUUGAUUAAAAGUCCUUCCCGACUUCCAGAUCAUGAAAAUAUACUCCUAUAUUACCUUCUAGCGGUUUUAUAGAUUGCCUAAAUAUUUUUAUGUAGUUAUUACUGUUCUGAUAAAGCUCUCUGGACACCUGAGCCAAACUCUAAGGCAAGAGUUAUACUGAGGGAAAAAUAUUUUUUUCAAAUCAAAGCAUUAAACCUUUAUUAUAUAUCAAAUUUAUGGAAAUGUCUAUUUUGCUCUAUGUUAAUGCUACACUAUUUUAUUAAUUGUAAUUAUCUGCAUUAUUGAUUUUUUCAAGUAUUCAGAAUUCAGUUCAUUAAAGUCUCAAAAUGAUUAAAAUUAUUUUGUUAGUGUCUUAUUCGGACUUGGAUUAGUGCUAAAUUGAAUUGAUAAAUUAAUUUGUAGAAAUAAGCAUAAUUUGAAUAGGACUAUUUCUUUGGGGAAUGUGAUAUGUUUCUACAUUUACUCAAAUUCACUUUUGUAUGUCCCUUAGUAAUAUACUUUCCAAGACAUUUUUCAUUCUUUAUAUCUAGUUAAUUGAGUGUUUAUGUUACUGUAAUUGACUUUUUUCUAUUAUGUCUUUGAGUUGGUAAUUCCAAGUAUGUAUGUAUAAAUGUAAUGUUUAUUGUAUAAUUAUUUUAUUACAAGCCAGUUUAAUGAAUUUGGUUUUUGAAUGUUUUGUUUUGUUUUUUUUCUUUUUCAGGCAGGGUUUCACUAUGCAAUUCAGGCUGGCCUUGAACUUACUUUGUAGCUAGACUUGAACUUGCAGGGAUCCUCCUGCCUCUUGCCUCAGCCUCUGGAGUACUGGGAUAGGCAUGCACCACCAUGUUGAGCUUGGCUCUUAGUUUGAAUGAAACUACUUAGGCAGCAAAUCAUCUAGCUUCAGUUAAAUGAUUAUCUAAUUUAAUUCUUUUCCAAUAUAAGUAAAUUUUCUUUAUGUAUGUAUCUUAUUUGUAUAAAAUUACCAAAACAAUAUCAAGUAAUAGCAACGAAGCACCAAAAUUAGAAUGUACCUGAAAUUUUUAAAAGUUAAUAAUUCUGUAUUGAGAUGAUAGCUCAAUGGUGGAGUGCUUGCCUAGCAAGGUCCUGGGUUCAAUCCCAGCCAACAAUAAUAAUAACUCUGGUGCUUCCUAAAUUGAAUAUGAUUUUGGAUGUUUGAGAUAUUUUUAUGUUACAUUUCUGUUUUCUUUAUUUUGAAAACCAACUGUGGGAAUUGGAUACAAUGUUAUGGUGAGAUUGGCACUUACCAUAUUGUAUUACUUUAAUAUGAAACUCCAAUCUUUUUUAAUUAUUUAGGUUUUUAUGUUCAUAUUUGUUACUUAAACUGGUUUGUAGUUUUAAGUAGUUUUUCACUUAAAAAUAAGAUUUCUUGUUUUGAUUUAUAGGCUGGAGGAGUUUUUAUCCUUUUUCAAACAUUAAUCAUUGUUAAAAGAAAAACGAAAAAACAGCCUUCUAAGCAAUCCAAGUAAACUAAAUCUCUCCUGAGGAAAGUCGCAUUUUAUUUAUUUAUUUAUUUAUUUAUUUAUUUAUUUAUUUAUUUUGUCUUUUUUGAGGCAGGGGUUUCAGUAUAUGGUGCAGGCUGGACUUGAACUCACCUUGUAGCCCAGGCUGGCCUUGAACUCACAGCAAACCUUCUACCUCAGCCUCCCGAGUACUGGGAUUGCAGGCGUAUGCCACUAUGCCCAGUGAAAUGUAUAUUUUCAUAUAGCUAGUGGCACAUGAACACAUUUUAAAGACUGACAAAAAGUAGAGGACAUAAAUAUAAUGAGUUAAUGGCAUUCAUAUUUAAAAGAUUUCUAGAAAUUAAUAAAAUCUAAUAGAAAUAUGAAUUUAAAGCAAAACAUAAAAUCAUUAGCAAAAACAUGAAAAUUUGUUAACCUUUACUGUUUGUGAGUAUAUUAGUUGGUUUUCUGAUACCAGGAAAAAAACAAAUCUGAGACUAGGAAGUACAUGAAAUAAAGGAGAUUUUAGCUCACAGGUUUGGAAGCUGAAAGACCAUGAUGUGGUGUCCAUUAUUUAGCCUCCAGCAAGGGCUCCUUUGGCUUCCUCACAGCAUAGGAGAAAAUCAGAAAAAGAAAUGAGCACAUAAAAAAAAGAACAAAGAAAAAAACUAGGCACGUGAUGUGAUAACAGCCUUGUCUCCCAAGAGCUAACUCAUUUUGUGAGAGGAGCAUUAAUCCCUUCAGAGACAGCACGUACACGACCUAAUUACUUUGCAUAUGAAUCUCUGGAGAACACAGAAAAAAUAGCAUUGAGGAAAAUGCACAUUACCACAAUAAUGGAAUUCUGUUUUCACCCAAUACAUUGCCAAAUUUAAAAGAUUCAUAUAAUUAAAUGUUCCUGAGCAUGUGGAAACUGAUACACCUUGAUAAGUAAUAAUUUCCUAUUAAAUAAUUAAUAUUUACUUAACAUUUUCUUUUUUUUUUUUUUUAUCGGUACCAGGGAUUGAACUCAUGACCGCCUGCUUGCAAGGCAGGUGCUUAUGCCACUAAGUUAAAUCCCCAGCCCCAAUAGUUAAUAUUUAAUAAUUAACUAUUAAAGUUAAAAAUGUUUAUCUUUUUCUCCAGAAUCUAUCCAGAGAUAGUAGCAAAAGAUACAAAUUAUAUAAAUGCAAUGAUACCCCUGAAACAUUUUUUUGUUUUGCUUUUGCUAUAGCAAUAGAUUGAAACAGUAAAUGAAUAUUAGUUGGAGAAUGAUUGAAUAAAUCAUGAACCACAAAAACUGAACAACCUUUAAAAUAAAAGAAGUCAAUCUUACAUUCUGACUACAGAUACUUCUAGAAAAUAGUUAUGCAUGAAAGAAAAUUGUAGACAAAUAUGUCACGCUACUAGGUUUUUAAAUGGGUAAUACAUACAUAAUUAUGUAUAAACUCUGGAAAAUAGGAUGUUUAUAUCCUUAACGGCAAUUUGCACUGAUAAAUGAGGCAGAGGAACAGAAACCAGGAGAAAUUCAUUCUCAGUGAAAAAUUCAUUUAGUAUGCUGUAUGUAAUAUUUUAUAUUACUUCAAAAUGCUACAAGGCUUUUGAAUGAUCUUUACUUUGGCAGAAGACUGAAUGCAGGUGUUAAGAAGCUCAUCAAAAGCCUAUUAUUUUUGGAGCCUUAGUCUCAUAUCUAUACAAUGAAACUAAAAUUCUUUCCAAAAGACGUUUGACUCUUUUUAUAAUUAAAUCCUCCUUAAGUAAAUGAAAACCUACUACAUUUUCACAAUAGUGAACUUUUACAUUUCAAGGCAAAUGAAGAAUUAUAAACCUUUUCAGCAAUGGCAUCACUGGAAAAGUAUGAGUAAUCCAUGUACCCAUAUAGGCAGCUUCCAGUACAGAAACAGCAUGUGAUUAUUAAUUGGGAUACGUCAUCUUGACUUAAGUAAGAACCUCCUAGUGGAUUAGUAAAGCUCUGGGUAUGUCUGUGGGUGGUUGACAGGCAGGCCAUGAACUGAAGCUUAUAACCUGAACAGAAUAAAAAGAAAAAGAAGGAAAUCGUCCAUUUUCUUUGGGGAAGUGCUGUUCUUUACCACUGCCUUUGGACACUGGUUUCCAGUUACUGCUGGCUUCUAACACAGAUUCAAGUCUUCUAACAGACUCACACUGGUGACUGCCGCAAGUUUUGAGGCAUUUGACCUUGACUGCUACUGGAACUCUGACUCUCCACUCUGCAGAUAGCCAGUAUGAAUUCUUUGGUCUCUGAUCUGGCAGAGCCAUUAGGAUUCUUCAGAUUCUGAUGCUGUAAGCCUACCUCUUAAAUAUCUUGUAUGAUCAUACAUAUGUUUUAUAUCAAAUCUGUUCCUCUAGAGAACAUUAAUAUACCAAGUGAUUAAAAAGUCAUUUGCAAGUUGCUACUAAACUUGGUGGUGAUUAGGAAAUAGGAGAACAAUUUGCUUCUAUUUGAAAAAGCUGAGGAAAUAUUACUAACUUUUUUAUAUAAUCUCUGAAUUUGCUUGAAACAUAUAACAUGUUUUCCCAUAGCAACACUGUUAAACAUGUCUGUAAAUUCUGAAACCAAACUGGAAAAGUUUGUUCAACUCAAGCGUGACUAAGCUAUAGUACUAAUAGUAUAUUUGUUAAAUAUAAAUAUUGAAUAAGAUUGAGUAAAUGGAUACAUCAAUAGAAAGGGACAGAAAGUUCACUGGAUUGUGUGCUCUGGGAGGAGAGAACUGGUCUUAUUCAUGGUUGUAUCCCCAACACCCUGCCAAAUGGCUAGUUCUCGGUAAACGUUGAAUGAAUUAUUAAAGAGCUAUCCUCAUUGGGUAUGGAAAUAGACUUCUACAAUAAUUUAUGCAUGUUUUAACCCACUAUGAAAGCACAACCCUUUCAAAAAGAUACAAUUAUUUUGUAAAGUAAAAGAUGUAUAAAGAAUAUACUGAUAGGAGAAAGGAUAGGUAGCUAAUCCAAGGAAAUUCCAAAGACAAGGUAGAAACAGAGUCACUCAGGAGUGUGAAAUGAACUUAAUAGAUGCAAAAUGGUUGAACUCCAUAGGGAAAUAAUCAAUUGUGUCUUCACCAGCAAAAGUAAUUGGCAUUACUAGGUGUUUACUUCAACUAAAUAAAGUAGUAAAAUAGCUCAAAAGCAACAAAAGGAACUAAUAAUAAGGUACAGUGAUUUAAACAACACCUAGCAUUUCAUGGAAAAACAAUACUUUUUUUGUAAUCUCAAAGUUUUUUAUAAUUUUUCCUAAUUUCCUGUCCUUGUGAUGAUAACUUCAAAGGUUGUGCUUCUUUAAGCACAAAAAGGCUAGCUGUAUAACUUUCUUUCUGAUUAUUUACAUUAGUGAAGCAAGGGCAUGAAUCAAAUUGCAGCCUGUUUACUCAAAGUCUGGUUUUUGUAUCUCCUCAAAGCUAAGAAUAGGCUUUGCAUUUUAAUAGUUAAAAACAUGAAAAGUUGAAUAAUUUUCUUGCUUUUUUUUUUUUUUUAUCGAUACCCGGGAUUGAACUCACGAUCGCCUGCUUGCAAGGCAGGUGCUUAUGCCGCUGAGCUAAAUCCCCAGCCCCAAGUUGAAUAAUUUUCAACACAUGAAAAUAAUAUGAAGUUCACACUUCAGUCUUAUUGAAUGUUUAUUAGGCACUGCCACAUUUAUUUAUUUACGUAGUUUGUGGCUGCUUCCUUUCUACAAUGGAAAAGUCACAGAGAUAGUAUGGUUUACAAAACAAGGCCACGACUAGAGUGAAACUCUUAUAAACCUAUCAUAAAUUUAAAAAGUUAUAAGUCAAAAGUGCAUUUAAUACACCUAACCUACUGAAUAUCGUAGCUUACCCAAUCUGUCUUCCUUAAACAUGUGUAGAGCACAUGCACAACCUACAAUGGGACAAAAUAAUUUAACACAAUGCCUAUUUUAUAAUAAAGUCUUAGAUGGCUCAUAUAACCUAUUGAUCAAAAUUGAAAGCACAGAUUUUACUAAAUGUGUGUUGUAUUCACAAGUGGAAAAAAUCAUAAAUGAAUCAUCACACACGGGACCAUCUGUAUAUUUUAAAACCAUAAGAAGAUAAGAAGAAAAUCAGUUAAACAGACAAGAUCAGUAUUACUGAUUAUUUUCCUUGAUAGAGAUAGAGCUCAGAACAUGCUAACCUAAAAUGUAGCCCCUUAGAAUACUGUAUAUUUUAAUCUGAAGGAAUUUGGGAAAAAGGCAGAAACAGCAGCUCACUCCAAUCUUCUCCAGACCCUUUGUCCCAAAAGUAGAUCAUAAGACUUUGUACAAGAAGUGCCCUUUGUAUGUAGAAGAAACAGGCAUCCUCAACUUGAAAGGCACACACCAAGAAUCUGAACAAAAACACUUUGCUAGACUUCCUCUAAUUUAUUGUCAAUAGGUCGGUCAUCGUCUUUGUCCUACCCUGUCUCUAUGAAUGUCCACUAUUCAUCAAACCUGUUAUCAUAAAACAACUCAAGAAUUACUGUCUUUGAGCCUUUAUUAUGAUACCUUCCCUGUGAAUACAUUUACUGCUUUUCUCUUGUUAAUCAAAAAAAACAUACUAAAUAAAUUUAAUGUUUUUCUCUUGUUAAUCUGUCAUUCUUUAUAGGGCCUCAGCCAUGAACCUAGAAAGAGUAAAAGGAAAAAUAUUUUUCCUCCUCUACAGCCUAAGGCUCAUAGUUGGCUUGGCAUGAAACAACUGUAUCUCGUGCGCUUCACUUUGGUCCUGGCCCUGUUGCAAAGCUUAAAAUAUUAGCUUCUUUCAGAAAAGUUUAGGAAGAGAGAUAAAAAAAACCAUAUAUGCUUCCUUGGCUUUGUUUUUCAAACUUGAGCACUAAGUGGUAGCAUCAUAAAAUAAACGUCUGUUUGGUUCUAUCUCAAAACCUCUAUCCUUGUAUGGAAUUUCUCAUUUAUAAUGUGUAUUGUUUUCCUUAAACUAUUGAUUUGUUUUUCUAUAGCUUCUUGGAAUUCAUUGGUAUUUUUUGUUUGUUUGUUUGUGCAGGGUCUUCUUAUGUGAUCCAGACUGUCCUUGAGCUAUGUACAUCAGAUUGAACUCAUGACAAUCCUGCUUCAGCCUCCCAAUUGCUGGAAUUAUAGGCAUGUUCCACCAGCCCCAGUUAUCAUUGUCCUUGUACAGAAGUCCACACUCUCCAUGGUGCCAAUGGUGGUACUGCUCAGCCCCGAUCUCGGGGCUCAGGUGAAUGUGGGCCCAUUCAGAAAGGAUACUUGCUCUGGGAUGGGAGAUCCUGAGGCACAGGUUGAGCUCUGUGAGUCAGGUUUUGUGAGACCCAGAGCAGCUCACAGCUCCAUGACCAACGAGGGGCAGAAACAUGGCAUUGAGAGAAAACAUGAUGAUGAUUCUGUGCUCCGGGAGAGGCUUCACACAGAGGAGCAGAACACGGCUGCCAAGUUGCCUCUGACUGAGCAGCUGAGAUUGUCUAUGCUCCUCAUUCAGAAGCAAAAACAAGAUCUCUUGGAAUUAGCUCAAAAGCUGAAUGAAAGAAAAAACGUGUCCCUGCUCCUUAAGGAGCGUCUGGAGGUCCUCCUCAGAAGAGAUCACCCUGAGACCAGCCAAGGCUGUUGCCACCACCAGGGUCAGCCCAAGGGCUGCAGGCUGGCUGAGCAGCUGGGCCACAACCUCAACCCAGAUAUUCCAGAAAAGGAGGAGGAUGUUAAAGAGGACUCAUCUGUGGCCCACAGCAGUGAGAGCACAGACAGCCAGCGAGAUGAGGAGCAGGCAGAGGAACUCCAGGCCUCCCAGGGUGAGGAGCACAAGACAUUCCCUGGUGACUGUGAGGCUGGUGACACCCAGGAGCCUCCCUGUGCCACUGCAGCCCAGGUGGAUGAGGCUGAGGCCCCUUCUCCACAGGCCCUGGAAAAUGAGAAUCACCUGGCAGAUGAGGAUUCCCUAGAACCCAAGAGCACCAGGUUGAUCACUGAAAAUAUCGCAUGUUUCAAGCCAAUAGAGAUAUUCCCGAAAUGGAGGUCCAUCCUGUACUACAUGAGAAAGAGUCUUAGAGAACUGUUGACUGAGGAUGGAGCUACGAGAUAUGAGGCACAAAGCCACCAGGAAAAGUACUCAGAGUGGCACAGGCUGGCCAGGAGCCUCGCCCUGCAGCUCAGCCCAGCAUUGAGCUUUGUGAAGAAGAUGACCUGUCAGCAUCAAUGGAGGAGCUGUCCUUCCUGGAUUCUCAGCAGCCGUUUCCACCAUCACCAGAAGAAGAUCAGCUGAAUUCCUCUGUCCCUGCGAUUGAGCCUCAAGCAAGAUCUCUGCCUGAUGAAACCAACUCGGACAUCAUCUCGGAAACACAGAAGAUUGAGGCAACCCAGGUGCUCAGAGCCAAAUUCGGAGGCCUCCGUUGGAUUGAGGAACCCACCUGAGAUGGAGCACGCUGUUCCCCCAGAGUCAGAAGAUGCCACACACGGGCGUCCAUCUCUCAGUGUCCCUGAGCCUGCUGCUGCUCUGAGGCAGACAAUGAUCCUAGGUUCCAGCUGGGGAACAUGGGGCGUAGAUUCC